RNAcentral lists this ribosomal RNA (391 nucleotides) under Cryptosporidium felis. RNAcentral's name for it is "SSU rRNA". It matches the Rfam family "Eukaryotic small subunit ribosomal RNA", at positions 262 to 657 of the family's 1831-position model. The record is from RNAcentral. Lineage: Eukaryota; Apicomplexa; Conoidasida; Eucoccidiorida; Cryptosporidiidae.
UUUACGGAUCACAAUAAUUUAUUUUGGGACAUAUCAUUCAGGUUUUGACCUAUCACCUUUAGACGGUAGGGUAUUGGCCUACCGUGGCUAUGACGGGUAACGGGGAAUUAGGGUUCGAUUCCGGAAAGGGAGCCUGAAAAACGGCUACCACAUCUAAGGAAGGCAGCAGGCGCGCAAAUUACCCAAUCCUAAUACAGGGAGGUAGUGACAAGAAAUAACAAUACAGGACUUUACGGUUUUGUAAUUGGAAUGAGUUAAGUAUAAACCCCUUUACAAGUAUCAAUUGGAGGGCAAGUCUGGUGCCAGCACCCGCGGUAAUUCCAGCUCCAAUAGCGUAAAUAAAAGUUGUUGCAGUUAAAAAGCUCGUAGUUGGAUUUCKGUUAAUACCUUA